GAUGAACGCUGGCGGCGUGCCUAAUACAUGCAAGUCGAACGCACAGCGAAAGGUGCUUGCACCUUUCAAGUGAGUGGCGAACGGGUGAGUAACACGUGGACAACCUGCCUCAAGGCUGGGGAUAACAUUUGGAAACAGAUGCUAAUACCGAAUAAAACUCAGUGUCGCAUGACACAAAGUUAAAAGGCGCUUUGGCGUCACCUAGAGAUGGAUCCGCGGUGCAUUAGUUAGUUGGUGGGGUAAAGGCCUACCAAGACAAUGAUGCAUAGCCGAAUUGAGAGACUGCUCGGCCACAUUGGGACUGAGACACGGCCCAAACUCCUACGGGAGGCUGCAGUAGGGAAUCUUCCACAAUGGGCGAAAGCCUGAUGGAGCAACGCCGCGUGUGUGAUGAAGGCUUUCGGGUCGUAAAGCACUGUUGUAUGGGAAGAACAGCUAGAAUAGGGAAUGAUUUUAGUUUGACGGUACCAUACCAGAAAGGGACGGCUAAAUACGUGCCAGCCGCCGCCGUAA
This 513-nucleotide ribosomal RNA is filed under the name uncultured bacterium. Its description in RNAcentral is "partial 16S ribosomal RNA". It matches the Rfam family "Bacterial small subunit ribosomal RNA", at positions 28 to 523 of the family's 1533-position model. The record is from RNAcentral.